RNAcentral lists this ribosomal RNA (1363 nucleotides) under uncultured Lelliottia sp. Its description in RNAcentral is "bacterial SSU rRNA". It matches the Rfam family "Bacterial small subunit ribosomal RNA", at positions 27 to 1383 of the family's 1533-position model. Lineage: Bacteria; Pseudomonadati; Pseudomonadota; Gammaproteobacteria; Enterobacterales; Enterobacteriaceae. The record is from RNAcentral.
GAUUGAACGCUGGCGGCAGGCCUAACACAUGCAAGUCGAGCGGUAGCACAGAGAGCUUGCUCUCGGGUGACGAGCGGCGGACGGGUGAGUAAUGUCUGGGAAACAGCCUGAUGGAGGGGGAUAACUACUGGAAACGGUAGCUAAUACCGCAUAACGUCGCAAGACCAAAGAGGGGGACCUUCGGGCCUCUUGCCAUCAGAUGUGCCCAGAUGGGAUUAGCUAGUAGGUGGGGUAAUGGCUCACCUAGGCGACGAUCCCUAGCUGGUCUGAGAGGAUGACCAGCCACACUGGAACUGAGACACGGUCCAGACUCCUACGGGAGGCAGCAGUGGGGAAUAUUGCACAAUGGGCGCAAGCCUGAUGCAGCCAUGCCGCGUGUAUGAAGAAGGCCUUCGGGUUGUAAAGUACUUUCGGCGAGGAGGAAGGCAUUGUGGUUAAUAACCACAGUGAUUGACGUUACUCGCAGAAGAAGCACCGGCUAACUCCGUGCCAGCAGCCGCGGUAAUACGGAGGGUGCAAGCGUUAAUCGGAAUUACUGGGCGUAAAGCGCACGCAGGCGGUCUGUCAAGUCGGAUGUGAAAUCCCCGGGCUCAACCUGGGAACUGCAUUCGAAACUGGCAGGCUAGAGUCUUGUAGAGGGGGGUAGAAUUCCAGUGUAGCGGUGAAAUGCGUAGAGAUCUGGAGGAAUACCGGUGGCGAAGGCGGCCCCCUGGACAAAGACUGACGCUCAGGUGCGAAAGCGUGGGGAGCAAACAGGAUUAGAUACCCUGGUAGUCCACGCCGUAAACGAUGUCGACUUGGAGGUUGUUCCCUUGAGGAGUGGCUUCCGGAGCUAACGCGUUAAGUCGACCGCCUGGGGAGUACGGCCGCAAGGUUAAAACUCAAAUGAAUUGACGGGGGCCCGCACAAGCGGUGGAGCAUGUGGUUUAAUUCGAUGCAACGCGAAGAACCUUACCUACUCUUGACAUCCAGAGAACUUAGCAGAGAUGCUUUGGUGCCUUCGGGAACUCUGAGACAGGUGCUGCAUGGCUGUCGUCAGCUCGUGUUGUGAAAUGUUGGGUUAAGUCCCGCAACGAGCGCAACCCUUAUCCUUUGUUGCCAGCGGUUCGGCCGGGAACUCAAAGGAGACUGCCAGUGAUAAACUGGAGGAAGGUGGGGAUGACGUCAAGUCAUCAUAGCCCUUACGAGUAGGGCUACACACGUGCUACAAUGGCAUAUACAAAGAGAAGCGACCUCGCGAGAGCAAGCGGACCUCACAAAGUAUGUCGUAGUCCGGAUCGGAGUCUGCAACUCGACUCCGUGAAGUCGGAAUCGCUAGUAAUCGUAGAUCAGAAUGCUACGGUGAAUACGUUCCCGGGCCUUG